AGAGUUUGAUCCUGGCUCAGAACGAACGCUGGCGGCGCGCCUAACACAUGCAAGUCGAACGGGGUGCAUGGAGUUGAUCACUUCGGUGUGAAGCACUUUGUUACCUAGUGGCGAACGGGUGAGUAACACGUAGGUAACCUGCCCUUAGGAUGGGGAUACUCCCGAGAAAUCGGGCCCAAUACCGAAUAUGACUCCGGGGUGAAAUGCCCUGGGGUAAAAGCUGCGAGCAAUCGUGGCGCCUGAGGAGGGAUCUGCGGCCUAUCAGCUUGUUGGUGAGGUAACGGCUCACCAAGGCUAAGACGGGUAGCCGGACUGAGAGGUCGAUCGGCCACACUGGAACUGAGACACGGUCCAGACUCCUACGGGAGGCAGCAGUGGGGAAUUUUGCGCAAUGGGCGAAAGCCUGACGCAGCGACGCCGCGUGGGGGAAGAAGGCCUUCGGGUUGUAAACUCCUUUAGUACGGGAAGAAGCCUUCGGGUGACGGUACCGUAAGAAUAAGCCACGGCUAACUCUGUGCCAGCAGCCGCGGUAAGACAGAGGUGGCAAGCGUUGUUCGGAUUUACUGGGCGUAAAGGGCGUGUAGGCGGUUUUGCAAGUCAGAGGUGAAAUGUCUCGGCUCAACCGAGGACCUGCCUUUGAAACUGCAGAACUUGAGGUCGUGAGAGGAGACUGGAAUUCCUAGUGUAGCGGUGAAAUGCAUAGAUAUUAGGAGGAACACCAGUGGCGAAGGCGAGUCUCUGGCACGAUUCUGACG
This 755-nucleotide ribosomal RNA is filed under the name uncultured bacterium. RNAcentral's name for it is "bacterial SSU rRNA". It matches the Rfam family "Bacterial small subunit ribosomal RNA", at positions 8 to 745 of the family's 1533-position model. The record is from RNAcentral.